AGGACGAACGCUGGCGGCGUGCCUAAUACAUGCAAGUUGAGCGCUGAAGGUUGGUACUUGUACCAACUGGAUGAGCAGCGAACGGGUGAGUAACGCGUGGGGAAUCUGCCUUUGAGCGGGGGACAACAUUUGGAAACGAAUGCUAAUACCGCAUAAAAACUUUAAACACAAGUUUUAAGUUUGAAAGAUGCAAUUGCAUCACUCAAAGAUGAUCCCGCGUUGUAUUAGCUAGUUGGUGAGGUAAAGGCUCACCAAGGCGAUGAUACAUAGCCGACCUGAGAGGGUGAUCGGCCACAUUGGGACUGAGACACGGCCCAAACUCCUACGGGAGGCAGCAGUAGGGAAUCUUCGGCAAUGGACGAAAGUCUGACCGAGCAACGCCGCGUGAGUGAAGAAGGUUUUCGGAUCGUAAAACUCUGUUGGUAGAGAAGAACGUCGGUGAGAGUGGAAAGCUCAUCAAGUGACGGUAACUACCCAGAAAGGGACGGCUAACUACGUGCCAGCAGCCGCGGUAAUACGUAGGUCCCGAGCGUUGUCCGGAUUUAUUGGGCGUAAAGCGAGCGCAGGUGGUUUAUUAAGUCUGGUGUAAAAGGCAGUGGCUCAACCAUUGUAUGCAUUGGAAACUGGUAGACUGA
This 635-nucleotide ribosomal RNA is filed under the name Lactococcus lactis. Its description in RNAcentral is "bacterial SSU rRNA". It matches the Rfam family "Bacterial small subunit ribosomal RNA", at positions 26 to 644 of the family's 1533-position model. The record is from RNAcentral. Lineage: Bacteria; Bacillati; Bacillota; Bacilli; Lactobacillales; Streptococcaceae.